Molecule: small nucleolar RNA, 99 nt
Organism: Medicago truncatula (barrel medic)
Lineage: Eukaryota; Viridiplantae; Streptophyta; Magnoliopsida; Fabales; Fabaceae
Rfam family: Small nucleolar RNA snoR1
About the family: snoR1 is a member of the C/D class of snoRNA which contain the C (UGAUGA) and D (CUGA) box motifs. Most of the members of the box C/D family function in directing site-specific 2'-O-methylation of substrate RNAs.
Source: Rfam
GGCGAGGAUGAAGAGUGCUAUUUAUAUUCUGACACCUCUUGUAUGAGAUGAAUCUAUCAGAAGAUUCAUCUAUGAGCACAUAAAGCAACUCUCUGAGUC